This 109-nucleotide microRNA precursor is filed under the name Sorghum bicolor (sorghum). RNAcentral's name for it is "mir-395 microRNA precursor family". It matches the Rfam family "mir-395 microRNA precursor family". From Rfam's summary of the family: mir-395 was identified in both Arabidopsis thaliana and Oryza sativa computationally and was later experimentally verified. mir-395 is thought to target mRNAs coding for ATP sulphurylases. The record is from Rfam by way of RNAcentral. Lineage: Eukaryota; Viridiplantae; Streptophyta; Magnoliopsida; Poales; Poaceae.
GUGUUACCAGGAGUUCCCUUCAAGCACUUCACAUGAAGCUCUUUGCAUUAUAUUGGCGGAUGUAGCAUUGAGACCAAUGUGAAGUGUUUGGGGGAACUCUAGGUGUUAC